CAAGAUUUGCAAUUCAUUGGUAGUGUUCAUGAUAGCAAGUUCUUUCAAUGAAAUGAUCGAGCUAGCAAAUUUUCCUUCCUUUGAAAUAUGCAGGCUAGUAAACUAACUCCCCCUUUAUCAUUAUCGAAAAGAAGGGAGAAAUCAAUGGCUAAAAAAUUUAAUCAUUAUACAAGCCAUAUUACAAAAUCAUGUCAUGAUAUCAAGAAAAUUCAAG
RNAcentral lists this long non-coding RNA (214 nucleotides) under Musa acuminata (dwarf banana). RNAcentral describes it as "long non-coding RNA (MACU_LNC011174)". The record is from RNAcentral. Lineage: Eukaryota; Viridiplantae; Streptophyta; Magnoliopsida; Zingiberales; Musaceae.